UUCUUCGGAGAGUUUGAUCCUGGCUCAGGACGAACGCUGGCGGCGUGCCUAAUACAUGCAAGUCGAGCGAAUCGAUGGGAGCUUGCUCCCUGAGAUUAGCGGCGGACGGGUGAGUAACACGUGGGCAACCUGCCUAUAAGACUGGGAUAACUUCGGGAAACCGGAGCUAAUACCGGAUACGUUCUUUUCUCGCAUGAGAGAAG
RNAcentral lists this ribosomal RNA (203 nucleotides) under Peribacillus simplex. RNAcentral describes it as "Bacillus simplex partial 16S ribosomal RNA". It matches the Rfam family "Bacterial small subunit ribosomal RNA", at positions 1 to 199 of the family's 1533-position model. The record is from RNAcentral. Lineage: Bacteria; Bacillati; Bacillota; Bacilli; Caryophanales; Bacillaceae.